AUUGAACGCUGGCGGCAGGCUUAACACAUGCAAGUCGAACGGCAGCACGGGAGCAAUCCUGGUGGCGAGUGGCGAACGGGUGAGUAAAGUAUCGGAACGUGCCCAGUCGUGGGGGAUAACGUAGCGAAAGUUACGCUAAUACCGCAUACGAUCUAUGGAUGAAAGCGGGGGAUCGCAAGACCUCGCGCGAUUGGAGCGGCCGAUAUCAGAUUAGGUAGUUGGUGGGGUAAAGGCUCACCAAGCCGACGAUCUGUAGCUGGUCUGAGAGGACGACCAGCCACACUGGGACUGAGACACGGCCCAGACUCCUACGGGAGGCAGCAGUGGGGAAUUUUGGACAAUGGGCGGAAGCCUGAUCCAGCCAUGCCGCGUGCAGGAUGAAGGCCUUCGGGUUGUAAACUGCUUUUGUACGGAACGAAAAGGUUUGGCCUAAUAAGCUGAGCUCAUGACGGUACCGUAAGAAUAAGCACCGGCUAACUACGUGCCAGCCGCCGCAGUAA
This 500-nucleotide ribosomal RNA is filed under the name uncultured bacterium. Its description in RNAcentral is "partial 16S ribosomal RNA". It matches the Rfam family "Bacterial small subunit ribosomal RNA", at positions 30 to 523 of the family's 1533-position model. The record is from RNAcentral.